GGACUACCGGGGUAUCUAAUCCCGUUCGCUCCCCUAGCUUUCGCACCUCAGCGUCAGUCACCAGCCAGGACACUGCCUUCGCCUUCGGUGUUCCUCCGGAUCUCUACGCAUUUCACCACUCCACCCGGAAUUCCGUGUCCCUCUCUGGCCCUCAAGUGCCGCCGUCUUUCGCAUCCUCGGAGAGGUAAGCCCUCCGCUGUCACGCGAAACGCGCCGCACCGCCUGCGUGCCCUUUACGCCCAGUAACUCCGGACAACGCUCGCCCCCUACGUAUUACCGCGGCUGCUGGCAC
RNAcentral lists this ribosomal RNA (292 nucleotides) under uncultured bacterium. RNAcentral describes it as "partial 16S ribosomal RNA". The record is from RNAcentral.